AUACUUUCAUACAUUACAUCCAAUGUUUACACAAUACAACUUAUAGAGAUUUCUUCUACUCACUACAACCACUCUCUUAGGGGGGUUUAUUGGAUCAUUGAUUUGAAUGGAAUUGGAAAUCUAACUAAAAUCAUGUGUUAUUCAAUCAUUGAUUUUAAAAUCUUUAUAAAAAUCAUGUGUUAUUGGUUCUAUGAUUUACAAAUACUAGUUCAAAUCACCCCUUAUUCAAUAUUGAAGAUUUGAGUAUGGAUUUGAUUUCAUAUUGGAUUUGAAUGGAUUUGAAAAUCUGUUUUAGUUAUAAAUAGAGAGAUUGAAAUCCUUGGAUUCCACCUAGUUAUUUGGGUGGAUUUGAAAAAAAAAAAAAUAUUAGUAGUUUUUAUUUUCCAUAAUGUUUUGAAUAUCAAAAAGAAAAAAACUGCUAAUACAAAAAUCACGAAACAUCUUCGUAUAAUACUUUCAAGCAUAUCGAUCACAAAAAAAAAAACUGCUAAUACCAAAAAUCAUGAAACACCUUCAUAUAAAAGUAUAUUUUUAUCAUAUAAUAAAAAUCAAAAAUACUAGAAAACAAAGGAAGGUUUUCGAAACCAAACAAGACUAGAGGAAAAAUUCUAGAAAACCAACAAUACUAGAAAACAAAAAAAAAUUAAUCUAACAUUCCAUAAUGUUACGCUUAAUCCAACCAUGACGUUCAUUAGUAGACAUACUAACAAAGAUUUCUUUCAUCCCCAAUUGGUGAAUCACUUUAACCGCAUCGUAACGAACGGUUUUUUUUUCCAAAUUAUGGACUUUUUUGAUAUCUUCCUAUAUGUGUGGAGAGAACAAUCAGUGGAGAGAAACAAGAUCAUCAAACAUGUGGAGUGAUUCAAUUCAGAGUUCAUAGAUGAGAACAUGAUAGGUUAUUUUGUUUAUCAUAAAAAAUUUCAUGUUUUAAUUUUAUUAUCUAUUUUCUAUGAUUUUCAAAUCCAUUUUAUUUGACUCUAAAAUCAACUUUAUUUGAUUUUCAAAUCCACAUUGUUUGAUUUUAAAAUCAGUGGAUUAUGUGUGAAUUUCCAAAUGUGAUAGAGAUUUCUAAUUCUAUUCAAAUCAAUGAUCCAAUAACCCCUCCUUAGACUCUAAACUUGGUCACUAUUUGACCUUACCUCUAGACAUUAGACUUAGUAUUACAAGCAACCUUACACAACCUUACCUUAGCCACUUACAACCCCAACUACUCUAGCUUAAGUACUUUAGCUAGAAUAAGAUACAUAAGCUAAUUCUACGAAUGGGCCACAAAGAAACAUACUUCACCACUUUGGGCCUAUACUAACUUCAUCAGCCCAAUAAGACAAAACACAAAAACCCACUUCUCUUGUUGACUUUUCUUCUUCUUCUUCUCACGUCUUCUCUCUUACGACCAAGCCGACCACUUCGUCUUCUUCUUCAAGUUUCCAAUCUUCUUGUUCUUCAUCAUCGUUUGACUCAUAGUAGUUUUCUCUUUUGCAGGCUCAAUCGAAAACUCAACUCUCAACAGGUUGGUCUUUGGG
Molecule: long non-coding RNA, 1523 nt
Filed under: Arabidopsis lyrata
Lineage: Eukaryota; Viridiplantae; Streptophyta; Magnoliopsida; Brassicales; Brassicaceae
Description: long non-coding RNA (ALYR_LNC000541)
Source: RNAcentral